RNAcentral lists this ribosomal RNA (119 nucleotides) under Anopheles stephensi (Asian malaria mosquito). The record is from RNAcentral. Lineage: Eukaryota; Metazoa; Arthropoda; Insecta; Diptera; Culicidae.
GUCAACGACCAUACCAUGUUGAACACACCGGUUCUCGUCCGAUCACCGAAGUUAAGCAACAUCGAGCAUGGCUAGUACUUAGGUGGGUGACCACUUGGGAAAACCAUGUGUCGUUGGCA